RNAcentral lists this long non-coding RNA (1015 nucleotides) under Homo sapiens (human). Its description in RNAcentral is "PREDICTED lncRNA (TCONS_00124817)". Lineage: Eukaryota; Metazoa; Chordata; Mammalia; Primates; Hominidae. The record is from RNAcentral.
ACUUCCGCGUUUCUGGCGCGUGGUCUUGCAUUUCCUACUUGGUCCUGUUCGUGGCGCCGCGCCUCCGGGUGUUGGGGAGUCCGGGAUGAUGGGGAAUCCGGGGCUCGCCCUAGUCGCGGGGACACCGCCUUCCAGGAGCUGUCCCCAGGCAAACUCACAGACAUCUUCAAAGAGCCUUCUUGGACAUUCUGCUUUUUGCUCCUCAUAACAGGCUUCGAUGGAGUUUCUCUCUUAUUUUCCAGGCUGCAGUACAGUGGCGUGAUCUCGGCUCACUGCAACCUCCACCUCCCAGGUUCAAGCGAUUCUCCUGUCUUAGCCUCACGAGUAGCCGGGAUUACAGGCACAUGCCCCCAUUCCCAGCUAAUUUUUGUAUUUUUAGUAGUGACGGGGUUUCAUCAUAUUGGUCAGGCUGGUCUCAAACUCCUGACCUCAGGUGAUCCGCCUCGGCCUCCCAAAGUGUUGGGAUUACAGGCGUGAGCCACCCACUGUAUCUCUUGUUCGGAGGAAUAUCUAAUCAAGAAAAUCAUUUUUACUGUUUUUAUUUUUUGGUUUGUUCGUUUUUUUCCUGUGAGAUGGAGUUUCACUCUUGUUGCCCAUCCUGGUGUACAAUGGCGCGAUCUCGGCUCACUUCAACCUCCGCCUCCCAGUGCGUCCGGAAUUGGUGGGUUCUUGGUCUCACUGACUUCAAGAAUGAAGCUGCGCACCCUCACGAGACAGAGGUCUCCCUAUGUUGUCCAGGCUGCUCUUGAUCUCCGGGGCCCAAGUGAUCCUUCUGCCUCAGCCUAAUGAGUCGCUAGGGCUACAGGCUCAUGUCACCUCACCUGGCUUAUUCUCUUUCUUUCUUGUUUUUCUGAAACAGGGUCUCACCGUGUUGCCCAGGUUGCAGUGCAGUGGCACGAUCAUGGCUCACUGAAGCCUCAAUCUCCCCAGGCUCAGUGAUCCUCCUACCUCAUCUUCCCAUGUAGCUGGGAUUACUGGUACACGCCACCACACCUGGCUAAUUUUUUGUAUUUUU